Molecule: ribosomal RNA, 497 nt
Filed under: uncultured bacterium
Lineage: Bacteria
Description: partial 16S ribosomal RNA
Rfam family: Bacterial small subunit ribosomal RNA
Source: RNAcentral
GAUGAACGCUGGCGGCGUGCCUAAUACAUGCAAGUCGAGCGAACGGACGAGAAGCUUGCUUCUCUGAUGUUAGCGGCGGACGGGUGAGUAACACGUGGAUAACCUACCUAUAAGACUGGUAUAACUUCGGGAAACCGGAGCUAAUACCGUAUAAUAUUUUGAACCGCAUGGUUCAAAAGUGAAAGACGGUCUUGCUGUCACUUAUAGAUGGAUCCGCGCUGCAUUAGCUAGUUGGUAAGGUAACGGCUUAUCAAGGCAACGAUGCAUAGCCGACCUGAGAGGGUGAUCGGCCACACUGGAAGUGGACCACGGUCCUGAGGCCUAAGGGAGGCAGCAGAAGGGAAUCUUACGCAGUGGGGGAGAGCAUGACGGAGCAACGGGGCGUGAGUGGUGAAGGUGUUCGGAUCGUAAAACUCUGUUAUUAGGGAAGAACAGAUGUGUAAGUAACUGUGCAGAUAGUGACGGUAACUAAUCAGAAAGCCCCGGCUAACUACGUG